Molecule: long non-coding RNA, 1215 nt
Filed under: Callithrix jacchus (white-tufted-ear marmoset)
Lineage: Eukaryota; Metazoa; Chordata; Mammalia; Primates; Cebidae
Description: lncRNA (ENSCJAG00000068159.2)
Source: RNAcentral
UUUUAUUCCUGCCCUGCUGGGAUCAAGCAGCUGUUUAGGAGUUUAUACUCACUUGGUCUUAGUGCUUGGUCCGAAAGUUAGAGACCUGUCUUCUACUCCUGCUUCCAAACAAAAAGUUGCCUAAGUUUGAGCUUAUCAGUUACUCUUUAUACUUCCUUCUCUCAUAAAAUGGACAGUAACUUGGAUUUAAAGUAUGUAAAGAAUCAAACCCACUUUUAAGAAAAUACCUAGUUUUUCUGGAUGCUCUUGCACUUGUAACAUGUAUUAUUUCUUUUGAUUGGCAUCUGCUUAGAAAGAAAUCACAAAGUAGUUGACCAUUCAGACUUGUCACCUUUUUUUUUGCAUUUUAAAUUCAGGGGGUACAUGAGCAGGUUUGUUACCUGAGUAUAGUGUAUGAUACUGAGGUUUGGGUACAAUUGAUCCUGUCAGUGAGGUACUGAGCAUAGUACCCAAUACUUAGUCUUUCAAUUCUUGCCCCUUUCCAUGCUCCUCAUACCAGUAGUACCCGGUUUCUGUUGUUGCCAUUUUUAUGUUCAUCAAUACCCAUUGUUUAGCUCCCACUUCUAAGUAAGAACAUGCAGUAUGUGAUUUUCUGUUCCUUUGUUGAUUCACUUAUGAUAAUGGACUCCAGCUGCAUCCAUGUUGCUGCAAAGGACAUGAUUUUGUUCUUUUUUAUGGCUAUGUAGUGUUCCACAGUGUAUAUGUACUAGAUUUUAAGAAUCCAAUCCACUAUUGAUGGCCACCUAGGUUGAUUCCAUGUCUUCGCUAUUGUGACUAGUGCUGUGAUGAACAUGCAGGUGUAUGUGUCUUUUUGGUAGAAAGAUUUGUUUUCUUUUGGGUAUAUAUCCAGUGACGGAAUUGUUGGGUCAAACGGUAGUUCUUUCAAGUUUUUUUGAAAAAUCUUCAGAAUACCUUCCAAAGUGGCUGGACUAAUUUAUAUUCCUGCCAAUGCCAUUAAAAAUGGCACCCUGAUCUCAGUUAUGAGUCUAGGGAAAUGUCUGCAGCUUUUCCUGGUGUCUUUCCCUUACAGUGUCUCCAAGCCUCUCCCCAAGUUAGCUCUAGGACUUGGGGGAGACAAAGUGUUCUCCCUUGGCCUGGGUUGCUCAGAUCCCCAGUGGAAAGAGAAUCCUACUGUGUCCUAUAGACACUGAGCUUGGCCCUGAGACCCUGGCUGGUGGAAGGUGGAUAGAAGGGAUGCUGUGCUAGCUCUGAGUA